This is a long non-coding RNA of Capra hircus (goat), 1047 nucleotides long. RefSeq lists it as uncharacterized. The transcript has 4 exons. Lineage: Eukaryota; Metazoa; Chordata; Mammalia; Artiodactyla; Bovidae. The record is from RefSeq and is a predicted model, not a curated record.
AGGGACUGUUAAGAUCUCUGACAACAGAACCUGUCAUUGUUUGAAGAGCAGAUUUCCACAGUGACCUGUACGCUUGGUGAUCCAGGCUUCUAUGAAAGGGAUUGUCCAAGAAGCAACAAUCCCCCAGCUUGUUACAAGAUACCGAAUCCAGGUCUCUGCCCUAUGCAGGAGGUCCUUGUUGUUUACCUGUUCGAGCCAGCUUGUUUGCCCGGAGGAAAGAAUUCAUUGAACAGCCACAGAUGACAUUCCAGAACAUCAGCCAACCACUUCCCAACAGGGUACCAUUGGGUCAUCACAAGGCCUGCCACCACCCCUGGCAGCGGGACUCCACAUACCUUCCCAUGGCAGAGGUCAGGUUUCAGGAGGUCAACAUGGGCAUUCAGGGCAAGAGCUUGUCUUAGUGAUCUUCGCUCUGGUUUCUUGAUAAAAGGCCAUUGGAAUUUUUGAGUCUCUGGAAAUCCAUGGGACUCUACUUUCUUUUUUAAAGGUGUUUUCUAUGCUUUGCAAUGACUUCUUUGGGUGAACUUCGGUCUAAAUAUUAACAGGAUGGUGUGUGUGUUUUGGGCGUGUGUGGGGGGAGUAAUUUCAAAUAUACUUCAGGGCCCAGAAGAGAAUUGUCACUUUGCAUGUCUUCCUUCCUUGUUGACAAAUCACGGUGCUCUUACUUCCUAUCUGGAAUCUGAGACUCUGCUGAGGCAGUGCGUUGAUCCCCAGGACAGUUAGUGCACCAGGUAGACGCUAAGCUUCCUCAUUUCCCCUCCCCUCAUCUGUUUCACAAACUGGACAACUCUGUUUUGAUCUGCCUUCCUAUAAGAGCUCAUCGGAGCACAAAUAGAUAAAUUAUUUAGAAGAGACCAUCAAAGCCGAGCCCAGGAAGAGGUUGGUGCCUCCUCGUGUGGUCACUGAGCCGAGAAGCUGGGUUGGGGCUCAGGUGAUAUGCAUGAGGUGCCGGUCCAGGUGGGUCCUCCUUGGGAUUCUCUUGACUGAGAGCAUCUUCCUGGAGCCCAGACACCGAGACGCCUGUGUUUGGGGCUAGGGAGUCCCUUG